This 423-nucleotide unclassified non-coding RNA is filed under the name Hevea brasiliensis (rubber tree). Lineage: Eukaryota; Viridiplantae; Streptophyta; Magnoliopsida; Malpighiales; Euphorbiaceae. The record is from RNAcentral.
UCCCCUAGCAUGGACAACACGCUCUGGAAUCCUCUCCCUAUCAAAGUUCGCAAGUUUCUCCACCAGAUGAUAGUCUUCAAGAAGGAUCGGACCUCUGGGCCCAACAGUCAAGGACGAAUUGUUGUUCCAUACUGGAGCACCGUAAUUCGUAGUCCAGAAGGGGGAAUCGUAAGCGCUUGAUGGACGGUUCUUGUAGGGAUCCAUAGCAAGAGAUAUUUGUGAAUUUUUGAUGGGUUUGGUGAGAAAAGGAGACCCCAAAACACCGAAUUAAAUGUGAGAGUCGCGUUCAAUUCGAAGAAGAACUCUACUUUCUGGCUAUUUAUAGAGGCUCGUCGCUUGCACGUCCAUUUUCUUGUAAUGCUGGGUUGAUUGCUGCUCAAUAUGCCCAUCAUGUUCAUCACGCAGAAAUGAAACUUGAAAAGC